CUUGGUCAUUUAGAGGAAGUAAAAGUCGUAACAAGGUUUCCGUAGGUGAACCUGCGGAAGGAUCAUUAAUGAUUGCGAAUGGUUGCCUUCGGUGCUGGCUCUUGCAAGUGCACGUUGGUGGCUUUCAUCCAAUACCCCUGUGAACCUUUGGCCUCUUGCUAGCUUCGGCGUGCAGAGGAUUUUUACACACUCGAAUGUAAUGAAAACUAUUGUCGUGCGCAAGCACUAGUGUACAACUUUCAACAACGGAUCUCUUGGCUCUCGCAUCGAUGAAGAACGCAGCGAAAUGCGAUAAGUAAUGUGAAUUGCAGAAUUCAGUGAAUCAUCGAAUCUUUGAACGCACCUUGCACCCUUUGGUAUUCCGAAGGGUAUGCUCGUUUGAGUGUCAUUGUACUCUCACACUCUCUGAUCCUUUGGAUUCAGGGAGUGGUGGACUUGGGUGUUUGCUGCUUUCCCGGUGGCUCACCUCAAAUGCGUUAGUGCACCUCUUGGUUGGACAUAGUACGGCGUGAUAAGUAUCUUCGCCGGCACCUCGCAAGAGGGUGGCCGAUUGGGAGCUCUGUGCUUUCAAACCGUCUUCGGACAAUCUUGACAACUUGACCUCAAAU
RNAcentral lists this ribosomal RNA (608 nucleotides) under uncultured Sebacina. RNAcentral's name for it is "eukaryotic LSU rRNA". The stretch from base 235 to 388 matches the Rfam family "5.8S ribosomal RNA". Lineage: Eukaryota; Fungi; Basidiomycota; Agaricomycetes; Sebacinales; Sebacinaceae. The record is from RNAcentral.